CUGUGUGUACGUUAUUGGUAAUCAUUCUUAGAGGAAUUGUCUCAUCUUUUAUGGGUCCUGAGGAUAUGAAUGAACCAUCAAUAACUCUGAUUGGAAUAAAAUUGGUUUUUCGAACACACGGAAUUUUAUUCUUUGCAACAAAAGAAAAAUCAAGGAAGGUUCCAUUAGCACCAGAAUCAAUAAUGGCUUCAGUCACGAUUCUUU
This is a non-coding RNA of Pelobates cultripes (western spadefoot toad), 204 nucleotides long. The record is from the annotation of a GenBank genome assembly. NCBI's taxonomy places the organism in Eukaryota, Metazoa, Chordata, Amphibia, Anura, Pelobatidae.